Molecule: small RNA, 3630 nt
Filed under: Pongo abelii (Sumatran orangutan)
Lineage: Eukaryota; Metazoa; Chordata; Mammalia; Primates; Hominidae
Description: retained intron
Source: RNAcentral
UCAAGAUGCUUUCGUGUGUAUUAUGGGAUUGUAUUUAUGGCCUUGUCCCUGCAUUGUGGAUGUCAAGGGCCAGUUGCCACGUGCUUAGUCAUAUACAUAAACUCAGGGAACACACACACGUAUGCUUAUGGACUCACACACACACACUUACCCACACUCACUCUAGCCACACUCACACUCAUAUAUACUCACCAGUACGCUCACACUCACACAUAUCCUUGCACACCCACACUCACACACACCAACACCCUUACCCACCCACACAUACCCUUACACACCCACACUCAAUGCUAGCCACACUCACAUAUACUCACCAAUACGCUCACACACACACACCCUUACAUACCCACACUCAUACUAGCCAUACUCACACUCAUAUAUACUCACCAAUAAGCUCACACACACCCUUACACACCCAUGCUCACACAUACCCUUACACACUCACACAUACUCUUACACGCCCACACUCACUACCCUUACACACACACACACCCUUACACACCACACUCACUCUAGCCACUCAUAUAUACUCACCAAUAAACUCACACACGCAUAGCCUUACAUACUCACACACACCCUUACACACAUUCACACACACUCAUACCCUUACACUGCCACACUCACACUACCCUUACACACCCUCUCACACACACCCUUACCCACACUCACACACAUACCUUUACACACCCACACUCGCACAUACCCUUACACACCCACACACACAUACCCUUAUACACCCACACUCACACACUCUAGCUACACCCACACUCAUAUAUAGUCACCAAUAUGCUCACACUCGCACUCACAUGCUGUCAUGCUCGCUCACACUCACACCGUUGCCCACUCACGUGCUAUCACUCUCACGGUGAAGUCUGCACCUGCCACCACUCAGGUUGCGAUGUGUGUUUCACUUUCAGCUCCUCUAAGGUUUUACUCGCCCUGGCUCCACCAAACUGGAUUUUACUAUAGUCUAUACUUAAAUAUUGUUCAUCUCUUCUUCUACACAAAAGUAUUAAGAAUUUACCUGCCUGUAAGUUAUUGGAAUAUCUUGGGCAAAAGCGAAUAAACUUUUCCUUUUCCCUUGUUCGACACCCCCUCGUCAGUGACCCCCACGACACGACCCCACCACCCUAUCUGGCUUGGCAUGUGAUGCUUCGGGAAGGGCACGGGGUUCACAUGGCUCCUGUUACCCUCUAAGCCUCAGAAAACAUUGGCACAGGCAGAGAGGAGAGCUGUCAUCUGAGUCUCUCUGUGGGAUCCUGGGCUCUUAGGGAAAGGCCGGACAGGGAGGGGUGGGAGAGAUUUCUGUGGCCUCCAAGAUUCCUGGGAAGGCGAAGUCUGGAUUUCCUUGGAGAGGAAGGAGGGUGUAGGCCAGCCACAUAAUUAGGGUGCAGUAGACAAACAGAAAUCAUUUCUUUUGGUCCCUCAUCUGCCUCAAGGCUGCGUUUGCUCCACGUGGCCGCACAGGCAUUUGCGUCUGUGCCCUUUGGGACUGGCAGAGAUGGAGGAGGAAGCCUUAAGCACCGUCUCUCCUGAUUAGCGCUCCACACGGCUCCUCUCCACAGCCCCCCCCCACCCACAAUGUCCCACUACUCAGACACGUGGGCCGUGGGUACAGAGGGAAAGGGACCUUGGGAAGAAUAGGGAGCCAAGCCACUCUUCACCCUCCCAGGUCACCCAUAGCGGGUCACAUGGGGACACGGUGGCCACUCACCCCCUGCCACUGAGUCCCACAGUACAGCUGCGCCUGUGGUCAGAUGCCACAGGGACACCAUAGCACCCGUCUAUUGUGUCAUUUCCUUGCUGCAUGAGGACCGAUGAUGUCCCCAGAGGCUCACUGGCUUCCCACAGCACAGAGGGACCUGGCACCGCUACCCCAAGAUGGUAUUGUCAAAACUAAACUACCUCCAUUUUUAUUUUUAAAAGUAUGAUGUCAAUGCAUAAAAUAAAAAUUGCUUUCUGUCAGAUGCUUCUUUAUUCAAGCCCCUAAAGAAAUGUUUUCUUGCCUAAGACAGCUCAUAUUAAAAUGUCUAAAGCCCAAAAGAAGUCUAAUAAAUUUCAGCUUUAUGACUUUGUUUACUCUGGGUGUAGGAAAAGAAGUCUUUUUUAUGUAGCCUAGUUUCCAGAACUUCAGGGUCAAAAGUUAACAAAUUUGGGGAAAACAGAAGAGAAAAGAUAGCAUACAGUAUUCUGUUUUCCUAUUAAAAUGAGGAAAACAAAGGAGUCAUCAGAACUAUAAUUUAUGGGAAAGUGUGCAGACAUCCAUCUGCUUUUAUUGAAAAAAUACACUGCAGAUGUUGGGCCUAAUUAUGAAUCCUCCAUUUUCUUGGUGAAAAACUUUAGUGGCAUCUCAAUCUCUGAUCAGUAAACUGGGUGUCGUAGCACUUACAAAAUAGAAUUAUUUCAUUGAUCUUUAGCCAUCUAUUUUUUUUUUGUAGAUGAGAGAGCAUUCAGCAUGAAGGCUGUUUCUAUCUGAAUACUAAAUGUUGGUUUCAUUCCCACAGGUUCACAGCAAACAGGAUUCCUAAAUGCCCUUAAGGACAGUCCUGCAAGUGUCCUGGAGGCUGUGGUGUGCUUCUUCUCUGUCUGGUCCAUCGUUGGCCUCUCAGGAUUCCACACCUACUUGAUCAGCUCCAACCAGACGACAAAUGAGGACAUUAAAGGAUCCUGGUCAAAUAAAAGAGGUAAAGAAAAUUACAAUCCCUACAGCUACGGAAAUAUCUUUACCAACUGCUGUGUUGCCCUGUGUGGGCCCAUCUCACCAAGCCUAAUUGACAGAAGAGGGUACAUCCAGCCCGACACGCCGCAGCCAGCAGCACCCUCCAAUGGCAUCACCAUGUACGGGGCCACGCAGUCACAGAGUGACAUGGCCGCGGCCACGCCCCUGCUGCAGAGCGAGCCCAGCCUCACCAGCGAUGAGCUGCACCUGCCCGGGAAGCCCGGCCUGGGCACGCCCUGCGCCAGCCUCACACUGGGCCCGCCCACACCUCCCGCCUCCAUGCCCAACCUCGCCGAGGCCACGCUCGCGGACGUGAUGCCCCGGAAAGAUGAGCACAUGGGCCACCAGUUCCUGACGCCCGAUGAGGCGCCCUCGCCCCCCAGGCUGCUGGCGGCGGGCAGCCCCCUGGCGCACAGCCGCACCAUGCACGUGCUGGGCCUGGCCAGCCAGGACUCCCUGCACGAGGACUCCGUGCGCGGCCUGGUGAAGCUCAGCUCCGUGUGACCCACGUGGCCCCGGGCCGGGGGGCACCAGAGGCUCCUCCACGGGCAGCGGGAGUGAGCAGAGGGGUGUGCCCCACAGUGACUUUCCCAGCCAGUGCCAUGGUGGAGAUGACAGCCCCAGGUCUGGGGUACAGAGACCAAUUAGGAUGGCACAGGGCGGCCGGCCCCGGAUGCUGAGAGCUUGGUUUCAUUUGAAUUUUCUUCCCCAACCUGAGUGCUUUGACAACAACGGAAAUAGAGAAGUGGCUGCUUUCUUUUGGUGACCCUCCAGGGGUGGAAUCGGAGUGUGUCUGCCCGCCCUUGUGACAGACACACGGAAGGCUUCUGACGCUUGUGGCCAGACUGCAAUUGCACUUACGUGUUAUGCUACUAAUAUUUGAAACAGACCUGCAAUUCCAUUUGUUAAUU